Molecule: ribosomal RNA, 400 nt
Filed under: uncultured bacterium
Lineage: Bacteria
Description: bacterial SSU rRNA
Rfam family: Bacterial small subunit ribosomal RNA
Source: RNAcentral
AUUAAACGCUGGCGGCAUGCCUUACACAUGCAAGUCGAACGGCAGCACGGGGGCAACCCUGGUGGCGAGUGGCGGACGGGUGAGUAAAGCAUCGGAACGUAUCCUGGAGUGGGGGAGUAACGUAGCGAAAGUUACGCUAAUACCGCAUAUUCUGUGAGCAGGAAAGCAGGGGAUCGCAAGACCUUGCGCUCUGGGAGCGGCCGAUGUCGGAUUAGCUAGUUGGUGGGGUAAAGGCCUACCAAGGCGACGAUCCGUAGCGGGUCUGAGAGGAUGAUCCGCCACACUGGGACUGAGACACGGCCCAGACUCCUACGGGAGGCAGCAGUGGGAAUUUUGGACAAUGGGCGGAAGCCUGAUCCAGCCAUGCCGCGUGAGUGAAGAAGGCCUUCGGUUGGUAAAG